This 253-nucleotide ribosomal RNA is filed under the name uncultured bacterium. Its description in RNAcentral is "partial 16S ribosomal RNA". It matches the Rfam family "Bacterial small subunit ribosomal RNA", at positions 524 to 776 of the family's 1533-position model. The record is from RNAcentral.
UACGGGGGGGGUAAGCGUUGUUCGGAAUUACUGGGCGUAAAGGGCUCGUAGGCGGCCAACUAAGUCGGACGUGAAAUCCCUCAGCUUAACUGGGGAGCUGCGUCUGAUACUGGAUGGCUUGGAUUUGGGAGAGGGAUGCGGAAUUCCAGGUGUAGCGGUGAAAUGCGUAGAUAUCUGGAGGAACACCGGUGGCGAAGGCGGCAUCCUGGACCAACAUUGACGCUGAGGAGCGAAAGCCAGGGGAGCAAACGGG